RNAcentral lists this long non-coding RNA (2953 nucleotides) under Homo sapiens (human). Its description in RNAcentral is "non-protein coding lnc-ANKS4B-5:10". Lineage: Eukaryota; Metazoa; Chordata; Mammalia; Primates; Hominidae. The record is from RNAcentral.
AUUAUAGAACGUGGGGAGCAUGAGAAAUACACGGAGGUGGAAACGCCGGAGUGGCUGGCGGGUAAAGGCAGCGGGCGCAGAUGAAGCGGGCUGGGCGUCCCACGCGCAGAACCGUCCCGGACAGAAGCCGCAGGGCUGCGCUGGCUGGAAAAAGGAACGCGAGUACAGCGCGCGUGGCGCGGGGUCUGCUCCAGGACGGAAUCUUUUGGGUGGCCCGCAUGAGGGGUUUGCAGGACCCCGGGCCUUUGGGAAGUUAUCUGCUAAACUCCAGUAGACCCUGAGGAGCAGCGGCUCAUGAAUCUUCUUAAACUUCUGUCAUCAGCGGCUGGGCCAGCUGAAGGUGACCAUGGCACACGAGGGAGAGAGAAGCCCGCGAGAGGCGGAGAAAUGUGGGGUCGUCCAGGAGGGUCGACAAGGCAAAGAACCUGAAGACGACCCAAAAGGGUACCUAGGUUGAACCUGCACCAGUCAUCCAAAGCAGUGACCCAACGCUUAUCUUUAUCUUUUUGCUGUUUUAUGCCAUCGCCACAAUAUGCUUCAGCUUUAUGGUUAGCACUUUCUUCAGUAGAGAGCCGAUGAUGAGCACCCCACCUCCUGCCAGAGAGCUCCUGCAGCCACAGCCGCAGCCGCAGGCCCUGCACUACGCGCUGGCCAACGUGCAGCAGGUGCAGAUCCACCAGAUCGGAGAAGACGGACAGGUGCAAGUAGGACACCUCCACAUCGCCAAGGUGCCGCAGGGGGAGCAAGUCCAGAUCACGCAGGACAGCGAGGGCAACCUCCAGAUCCAUCACGUGGGGCAGGAUGGUCAGUACUUUUUAUGAAGACUGGUCUUUUGUGAUGGAUGAAGAGAGGUCCAGUAUGCUUCCUACCAUGGCAGCAGGUCCGAACUCCAUACUCUUUGCGAUUAACAUUGACAACAAGGAUUUGAACGGGCAGAGUAAGUUUGCUCCCACCGUUUCAGACCUCUUAAAGGAGUCAACGCAGAAUGUGACCUUGCUGAAGGAGUCCACGCAAGGAGUGAGCAGCGUGUUCAGGGAGAUCACAGCCUCCUCUGCCAUCUCCAUCCUCAUCAAACCUGAACAGGAGACCGACCCCUUGCCCGUCGUGUCCAGGAAUGUCAGUGCUGAUGCCAAAUGCAAAAAGGAGCGGAAGAAGAAAAAGCAAGUGACCAACAUUAACUCAUUUGAUGAUGAGGAAGAUGAGCAGAACUCUGGGGACAUGUUUAAAAAGACACCUGGGGCAGGGGAGAGCUCAGAGGACAACUCCGACCGCUCCUCUGUCAAUAUCAUGUCCGCCUUUGAAAGCCCCUUCGGGCCAAACUCCAAUGGAAGUCAGAGCAGCAACUCGUGGAAAAUUGAUUCCCUGUCUUUGAACAGGGAGUUUGGGUACCAGAAGCUUGAUGUGAAAAGCAUCGAUGAUGAAGAUGUGGAUGAAAACGAAGAUGACGUGUAUGGAAACUCAUCAGGACGGAAGCACAGGGGCCACUCAGAGUCGCCCGAGAAAAACGGAGCACACUCUGUCACCCAGGCUGGAGUGCAAUGGCACGAUCUCAGCUCACUACAACCUCUGCCUCCCGGGUUCAAGUGAUUCUACUGCCUCAGCCUCCCAAGUAGCUGGGAUUACAGGCGCCUGCCACCACACCCAGCUAAUUUUUGCAUUUUUAGUAGAGAAAGGGUUUCGCCAUGUUGGCCAGGCUGGUCUUGAACUCCUGACUUCAGGUGAUCCUCCUCGCCUGCCUUGCCUCCCAAAGUGCUGGGAUUACAGGCAUGAGCCACCACGCCCGGCCCUGCCUCUUGAGCUGGGGAGUUCAAGACCAGCCUGGGCAACAUAAUGAGAUUUCAGCUCUAUUAAAAAUAAUAAUAAUUAAAAAAAAAAAAGAAUGGCCCUACCUUUCACUGGCAGGGAAGGGUGGAGGGCCCUCCUGUCAUCUCCAAAUCAUAGUACUGUCCCCACCAGCCAUAGCUGAUCAUUUUAGGAGUGGUUCCAAGGAGUCCCAAGCUGGGCCCAUUACAGCCUCUCCUGGAGGGUUACAAUUGGAUGAGAAGCCAAUCGAUAUCCUCUAUAAUUAAAAAUAUAAGAACUUAGGAGUCAUGGGGCAGCUGUGUUUAGUUGAAAGCCUAGAGAAGCAGAGAGAGUCCAUGUGUUUGUUACUUACGGUAAUGCUGGCUGCUGGAACAGAUAAGCCCCGAAAUCUCUGUGGCUUAACAUCACAGAAGUUUAUUACCUGCUCAGAUAACAGUCUAAGGCAGAUGUGCCACAUGGCGAUUCAGGGACUGCUACCUUGUGGUUCUGCUGUCUCUCGGGGCCUCGGCUGGUAGAUAGCAAACAAUGCAGACAGGAGAAGACAGAUCCAUGAUCUUAACCAUCUCAGCCCCAGACAGGGGACCGCGUCAUUUCCACCCACCUUCCAUCAGCAAGAACCAGUCACAUGAGCACAUCUAACAGCAAUGAAGGCUGGGAAAUACGUGCCCAGGAAGGGAGGAAUCAGUUUCUUUGCAGAGGAGAGAGGGAACAGAAGAGAGGGAAAGGGGGAAAAUAGAGAGACGGAGGGAGAGAAAGAGAGAAGAACUAAUGAGCACAGAACUAAGAAAGCCCAGGCACAGUGGCUCACAUCAGUAAUUCUAGGGCCUUGGGAGGCAAGACAAGAGAAUCACUUGAGGCCAUGAGUUCAAGGGCAGCCUAGGCAACAUAGUGGGACCCUAUCUCCACAAAAAUAAUAAUAUUAUUAUUAUUAAAUAAAAUAAAAGGAAGAGACAGCCAUGAAGAUAACUAGCUGAGGCCAGGUACAGUGGCUCAUGCCUAUAAUCCCAACACUUUGGGAGGUUGAGGUGGACAGAUUGCUUGAGGUCAGAAGUUCCAGACCAGACUGAAUAACAUAGCAAAACCCCAUCCCUACUAAAAAUACAAAAAUUAGCUGGGCGUGGUGGCAGGCACCUGUAGUCCCAGCUACUCG